This 63-nucleotide transfer RNA is filed under the name Listeria grayi. It matches the Rfam family "tRNA", at positions 6 to 65 of the family's 71-position model. From Rfam's summary of the family: Transfer RNA (tRNA) molecules are approximately 80 nucleotides in length. The record is from RNAcentral. Lineage: Bacteria; Bacillati; Bacillota; Bacilli; Caryophanales; Listeriaceae.
GAUAGCUCAGCUGGAUAGAGCAACGGCCUUCUAAGCCGUCGGUCGCAGGUUCGAAUCCUGCUC